RNAcentral lists this ribosomal RNA (453 nucleotides) under uncultured organism. RNAcentral describes it as "partial 16S ribosomal RNA". It matches the Rfam family "Bacterial small subunit ribosomal RNA", at positions 331 to 800 of the family's 1533-position model. The record is from RNAcentral.
GUACACUCCUACGGGAGGCAGCAGUGGGGAAUAUUGGACAAUGGGCGCAAGCCUGAUCCAGCCAUGCCGCGUGAGUGAUGAAGGCCCUAGGGUUGUAAAGCUCUUUCACCGGUGAAGAUAAUGACGGUAACCGGAGAAGAAGCCCCGGCUAACUUCGUGCCAGCAGCCGCGGUAAUACGAAGGGGGCUAGCGUUGUUCGGAUUUACUGGGCGUAAAGCGCACGUAGGCGGACUAUUAAGUCAGGGGUGAAAUCCCGUGGCUCAACCCCGGAACUGCCUUUGAUACUGGUAGUCUUGAGUUCGAGAGAGGUGAGUGGAAUUCCGAGUGUAGAGGUGAAAUUCGUAGAUAUUCGGAGGAACACCAGUGGCGAAGGCGGCUCACUGGCUCGAUACUGACGCUGAGGUGCGAAAGCGUGGGGAGCAAACAGGAUUAGAAACCCCAGUAGUCCCAUGA